This 468-nucleotide ribosomal RNA is filed under the name uncultured bacterium. Its description in RNAcentral is "partial 16S ribosomal RNA". It matches the Rfam family "Bacterial small subunit ribosomal RNA", at positions 28 to 507 of the family's 1533-position model. The record is from RNAcentral.
GACGAACGCUGGCGGCGCGCCUAACACAUGCAAGUCGAACGGAGCUGAGAGAAGCUUGCUUUUCUUAGCUUAGUGGCGAACGGGUGAGUAACGCGUGAGUAACCUGCCCUGGAGUGGGGGACAACAGUUAGAAACGACUGCUAAUACCGCAUAAGCCCACGAUCCGGCAUCGGAUUGAGGGAAAAGGAUUUAUUCGCUUCAGGAUGGACUCGCGUCCAAUUAGCUAGUUGGUGAGGUAACGGCCCACCAAGGCGACGAUUGGUAGCCGGACUGAGAGGUUGAACGGCCACAUUGGGACUGAGACACGGCCCAGACUCCUACGGGAGGCAGCAGUGGGGGAUAUUGCACAAUGGGGGAAACCCUGAUGCAGCAACGCCGCGUGGAGGAAGAAGGUUUUCGGAUUGUAAACUCCUGUCGUUAGGGACGAUAAUGACGGUACCUAACAAGAAAGCACCGGCUAACUACGUG